This 79-nucleotide transfer RNA is filed under the name Streptococcus lutetiensis. RNAcentral describes it as "tRNA-Leu". Lineage: Bacteria; Bacillati; Bacillota; Bacilli; Lactobacillales; Streptococcaceae. The record is from RNAcentral.
GGCGGAACUGGCAGACGCACAGGACUUAAAAUCCUGCGAAGGGUAACCUUCGUACCGGUUCGAUCGAAUCCUGCAGGGU